UACGAAGGGGGCUAGCGUUGCUCGGAAUCACUGGGCGUAAAGCGCACGUAGGCGGCUUUCUAAGUCAGGGGUGAAAUCCUGGAGCUCAACUCCAGAACUGCCUUUGAUACUGGAGAGCUUGAGUUCGGGAGAGGUGAGUGGAACUGCGAGUGUAGAGGUGAAAUUCGUAGAUAUUCGCAAGAACACCAGUGGCGAAGGCGGCUCACUGGCCCGUUACUGACGCUGAGGCACGAAAGCGUGGGGAGCAAACAGG
This 253-nucleotide ribosomal RNA is filed under the name uncultured bacterium. Its description in RNAcentral is "partial 16S ribosomal RNA". It matches the Rfam family "Bacterial small subunit ribosomal RNA", at positions 524 to 776 of the family's 1533-position model. The record is from RNAcentral.